AGUCUGUUGUCGCCGUCGUCAAGGGUAUUGAUUGCUUUCUCGACCUCUUUGAUCAUAAGAAGAAGAUUAAACCUGACCAUGAGCAUGAAUCCAACUUGACGAUGGUGAGGCAUUCUCAUGGUGUCACCAUAUACAGUGAAGAGAUGUGUUAGGAUUUGACGUUUGAAGAUUCGAUCCACAUUGAGCCUACAGUGAGGUUCGCAUCGAAAAACGAAGUCUAACGAGAU
This 227-nucleotide long non-coding RNA is filed under the name Elaeis guineensis (African oil palm). RNAcentral's name for it is "long non-coding RNA (EGUI_LNC031034)". The record is from RNAcentral. Lineage: Eukaryota; Viridiplantae; Streptophyta; Magnoliopsida; Arecales; Arecaceae.